AACGGUAGCACAGAGAGCUUGCUCUCGGGUGACGAGUGGCGGACGGGUGAGUAAUGUCUGGGAAACUGCCUGAUGGAGGGGGAUAACUACUGGAAACGGUAGCUAAUACCGCAUAACGUCGCAAGACCAAAGAGGGGGACCUUCGGGCCUCUUGCCAUCAGAUGUGCCCAGAUGGGAUUAGCUAGUAGGUGGGGUAACGGCUCACCUAGGCGACGAUCCCUAGCUGGUCGUGAGAGGAUGACCAGCCACACUGGAACUGAGACACGGUCCAGACUCCUACGGGAGGCAGCAGUGGGGAAUAUUGCACAAUGGGCGCAAGCCUGAUGCAGCCAUGCCGCGUGUAUGAAGAAGGCCUUCGGGUUGUAAAGUACUUUCGGCGGGGAGGAAGGUGUUGCGGCUAAUAACCGCAGCAAUUGACGUUACCCGCAGAAGAAGCACCGGCUAACUCCGUGCCAGCAGCCGCGGUAAUACGGAGGGUGCAAGCGUUAAUCGGAAUUACUGGGCGUAAAGCGCACGCAGGCGGUCUGUCAGGUCGGAUGUGAAAUCCCCGGGCUCAACCUGGGAACUGCAUUCGAAACUGGCAGGCUAGAGUCUUGUAGAGGGGGGUAGAAUUCCAGGUGUAGCGGUGAAAUGCGUAGAGAUCUGGAGGAAUACCGGUGGCGAAGGCGGCCCCCUGGACAAAGACUGACGCUCAGGUGCGAAAGCGUGGGGAGCAAACAGG
RNAcentral lists this ribosomal RNA (721 nucleotides) under uncultured Enterobacterales bacterium. RNAcentral describes it as "bacterial SSU rRNA". It matches the Rfam family "Bacterial small subunit ribosomal RNA", at positions 65 to 776 of the family's 1533-position model. Lineage: Bacteria; Pseudomonadati; Pseudomonadota; Gammaproteobacteria; Enterobacterales. The record is from RNAcentral.